UCCCUCGUGGCGCAAUUGGCUAGCGCGUUCGACUGUUAAUCGUAAUAUCACGAAUCACGUGAUCGAGAGGUUGGUGGUUCGAGCCCACCCGAGGGAG
This is a transfer RNA of Sclerotinia sclerotiorum, 97 nucleotides long. It matches the Rfam family "tRNA". From Rfam's summary of the family: Transfer RNA (tRNA) molecules are approximately 80 nucleotides in length. The record is from Rfam. NCBI's taxonomy places the organism in Eukaryota, Fungi, Ascomycota, Leotiomycetes, Helotiales, Sclerotiniaceae.